Molecule: ribosomal RNA, 433 nt
Filed under: uncultured bacterium
Lineage: Bacteria
Description: partial 16S ribosomal RNA
Rfam family: Bacterial small subunit ribosomal RNA
Source: RNAcentral
AACGAACGCUGGCGGCAUGCCUAACACAUGCAAGUCGAACGGAACCUCCGGGCCUAGUGGCGCACGGCGGGGUAACGCGGGGGAACUUGCACGUAGGUACGCAAUAACUCCCUGAGGGGGGAGUUAAGACCGGAGAAGCUAUUAGGACCAAGGAUUUCUUGCCUUAGGGUGGGCCCGCGUUGGAUUAGCUAGUUGGUAGGGUAAAAGCCGACCAAGGCGACGUUCCAUAGCUGGUCUGAGAGGAUGACCAGCCACACUGGGACUGAGACACGGCCCAGACUCGUACGGGAGGCAGCAGUGGGGAAUACUGGACAAGGGGCGAAAGCCUGAUCCAGCAAUGCCGCGGGAGUGAUGAAGGCCUUAGGGUUGUAAAGCUCUUUUACCCGGGAUGAUAAUGACAGUACCGGGAGAAUAAGCGCCGGCUAACUCCGUG